AGGCAGAACUAUCACUGAAAGGAAUUGCUGAGGGUGCUGAAAGAGCCCUAGUCAAAAUAUUAGCCCUACAGGAAAUGCCCUGAAGAUCAGUUUUCCAAAUUAAAAAAUAAAAAUAAAUAUCUGAGGCGGGUGGAUCACGAGGUCAACAGAUCGAGACCAUCCUGGUCAACAUGGUGAAACCCCGUCUCUACUAAAAAUUACAAAAAGUUAGCUGGGCACGGUGGCGCGUGCCUGUAAUCCCAGCUACUCAGGAGGCUGAGGCAGGAGAAUUGCCUGAACCCAGGGGGCGGAGGUUGCGGUGAGCCGAGAUUGCGCCAUUGCACUCCAGCCUGGGUAACAAGAGCGAAACUCCGUCUCAAAAAAAAAAUAAAAAAAUAAAAAAUAAAAAAAAAAUAAAUAUCUGUCUGGUUGCUUGAUCUUCUAGGAGGCUGAAUUCUUUUUGGAGAUGUCCACAAGAUUAAAGAAAACAAACCAGAUCUUUCAAGAUAUUCAUGGUACUAAAGCUGAGGUGUCAGAGCAGCAGUGCUCAGUAUUGGUGUAACGCAAGUUACGAAGGAACAACUGAUGUCCUAGAAGCUGUAGCAGGCCUUUCAGGUGAGGGAAAGGGCGUUUGCAAAGGCAUAUAAGCUUCAGUGAGGUGUGUUAGGAAAACAAUGAAGAGUGCAAUUUGGCUCAAGCACUUAUUCUACAAACACCAUUGAAGUGCUGUGUUGUAGUUAUUGAGGUCACAAGCUCUGUGGCUAAAUGUAUCUGAGUUGAAGUCCUGGUUAUACCAUUUCCCAAGUUCAG
This 789-nucleotide long non-coding RNA is filed under the name Callithrix jacchus (white-tufted-ear marmoset). RNAcentral's name for it is "lncRNA (ENSCJAG00000075795.1)". The record is from RNAcentral. Lineage: Eukaryota; Metazoa; Chordata; Mammalia; Primates; Cebidae.